Molecule: ribosomal RNA, 478 nt
Filed under: uncultured bacterium
Lineage: Bacteria
Description: bacterial SSU rRNA
Rfam family: Bacterial small subunit ribosomal RNA
Source: RNAcentral
GACGAACGCUGGCGGCGUGCUUAACACAUGCAAGUCGAACGGAGUUACGUAUGAAGUAUUUCGGUACGGACUACAUAACUUAGUGGCGAACGGGUGAGUAACACGUGGGCAACCUGCCCUUAACCGGGGGAUAACAUUGUGAAAACAGUGCUAAUACCGCAUAACAGAGUAUCGGGCAUCCGAUAUUUUAAAAGGAGCAAUCCGGUUUAGGAUGGGCCCGCGUCCAAUUAGCUAGUUGGUGAGGUAACGGCUCACCAAGGCUACGAUUGGUAGCCGAACUGAGAGGUUGAUCGGCCACAUUGGGACUGAGACACGGCCCAGACUCCUACGGGAGGCAGCAGUGGGGAAUAUUGGGCAAUGGGCGAAAGCCUGACCCAGCGACGCCGCGUGAAGGAUGAAGGUCUUCGGAUUGUAAACUUCUUUGAUCAGGGAAGAAAGAAUGACGGUACCUGAAGAACAAGCCACGGCUAACUACGUG